Molecule: ribosomal RNA, 253 nt
Filed under: uncultured bacterium
Lineage: Bacteria
Description: partial 16S ribosomal RNA
Rfam family: Bacterial small subunit ribosomal RNA
Source: RNAcentral
UACGUAGGGGGCAAGCGUUGUCCGGAUUUAUUGGGCGUAAAGAGCGUGUAGGCGGUUUGGUAGGUCCGUUGUGAAAACUCGAGGCUCAACCUCGAGACGCCGAUGGAAACCAUCAGACUAGAGUCCGGAAGAGGAGAGUGGAAUUCCUGGUGUAGCGGUGGAAUGCGCAGAUAUCAGGAGGAACACCGGUGGCGAAGGCGGAUCUCUGGGCCAUAACUGACGCUGAGGAGCGAAAGCAUGGGGAGCGAACAGG